RNAcentral lists this ribosomal RNA (253 nucleotides) under uncultured bacterium. RNAcentral describes it as "partial 16S ribosomal RNA". It matches the Rfam family "Bacterial small subunit ribosomal RNA", at positions 524 to 776 of the family's 1533-position model. The record is from RNAcentral.
UACGUAGGGUGCAAGCGUUGUCCGGAAUUAUUGGGCGUAAAGAGCUCGUAGGCGGUCUGUCACGUCGGCUGUGAAAUCCCGAGGCUCAACCUCGGGCCUGCAGUGGGUACGGGCAGACUAGAGUGCGGUAGGGGAGAAUGGAAUUCCUGGUGUAGCGGUGGAAUGCGCAGAUAUCAGGAGGAACACCGAUGGCGAAGGCAGUUCUCUGGGCCGUAACUGACGCUGAGGAGCGAAAGCGUGGGGAGCGAACAGG